This 225-nucleotide ribosomal RNA is filed under the name uncultured bacterium. RNAcentral describes it as "partial 16S ribosomal RNA". It matches the Rfam family "Bacterial small subunit ribosomal RNA", at positions 109 to 334 of the family's 1533-position model. The record is from RNAcentral.
AGUAACGCGUGGGUAACCUGCCUCAUACAGGGGGAUAACAGUUAGAAAUGACUGCUAAUACCGCAUAAGCGCACAGUGCUGCAUGGCACAGUGUGAAAAACUCCGGUGGUAUGAGAUGGACCCGCGUCUGAUUAGCUAGUUGGUGGGGUAACGGCCUACCAAGGCGACGAUCAGUAGCCGGCCUGAGAGGGUGAACGGCCACAUUGGGACUGAGACACGGCCCGA